GGCAAGGUGGCCGAGUGGUCUAAGGCGUAAUGUUUAAGAAAAUUGAAUUCUAUUCCUAUUCAUAUGGGAACCAUUAUAUCGAGAGAUGCCAGGGUUCGAACCCCUGUCUUGCCA
Non-coding RNA from Ilyonectria destructans, 114 nucleotides. The record is from the annotation of a GenBank genome assembly. NCBI's taxonomy places the organism in Eukaryota, Fungi, Ascomycota, Sordariomycetes, Hypocreales, Nectriaceae.